AUAACUUCGGGAAACCGGAGCUAAUACCGGAUAAUAUUUUGAACCGCAUGGUUCAAAAGUGAAAGACGGUCUUGCUGUCACUUAUAGAUGGAUCCGCGCUGCAUUAGCUAGUUGGUAAGGUAACGGCUUACCAAGGCAACGAUGCAUAGCCGACCUGAGAGGGUGAUCGGCCACACUGGAACUGAGACACGGUCCAGACUCCUACGGGAGGCAGCAGUAGGGAAUCUUCCGCAAUGGGCGAAAGCCUGACGGAGCAACGCCGCGUGAGUGAUGAAGGUCUUCGGAUCGUAAAACUCUGUUAUUAGGGAAGAACAUAUGUGUAAGUAACUGUGCACAUCUUGACGGUACCUAAUCAGAAAGCCACGGCUAACUACGUGCCAGCAGCCGCGGUAAUACGUAGGUGGCAAGCGUUAUCCGGAAUUAUUGGGCGUAAAGCGCGCGUAGGCGGUUUUUUAAGUCUGAUGUGAAAG
RNAcentral lists this ribosomal RNA (470 nucleotides) under Staphylococcus aureus. Its description in RNAcentral is "bacterial SSU rRNA". It matches the Rfam family "Bacterial small subunit ribosomal RNA", at positions 143 to 600 of the family's 1533-position model. The record is from RNAcentral. Lineage: Bacteria; Bacillati; Bacillota; Bacilli; Caryophanales; Staphylococcaceae.